This is a non-coding RNA of Danio rerio (zebrafish), 1519 nucleotides long. The record is from RefSeq and is a predicted model, not a curated record. Lineage: Eukaryota; Metazoa; Chordata; Actinopteri; Cypriniformes; Danionidae.
CCAAAAUAAUUCCGCAUAAAUCCACAGAUUUUUAACAAAAUUCUAAAAAUCGGUUCUAGUUUUUAGGCAUAAUUAUAUACUAUAUUAACUUGGUGUAUUAAGUAACUAAUAAUAGAUAAUUAUGACACCUUAGAUGUGCAUAUCAAAUAUGAUACUGUUAGUUUAAAUGGAACUUGAAGAAGGGGAGAUCAUUUUUAACACAUAACAAGUAUGUGUGAGAUGCCUUGUAAUGUUACAAAAUGCGAUCACGCUUAUACAUCUUAAUCACGAAUAUUAACUUAAUCUGUAUGGCAACACAAAACUGCACUAAUGUGCCUUGCCCUACAUAGAAAACAUUUGUACCUCUCAAAUCAAUUGACUGAGCCUCCCUUGUGUCGCUUGUGUCAGUGGUCACCUCCUAUUCUUCUGUUUCUGUUCUGACCUUCAAAGUUCCAGUUCAAACACCACGUCUUGGGGGUCACCAAUCAGGUCACCUCCUGACACUAGUCUUGACCUUUGGUCAUAUCAGCAGGUCAUGACUGAUCUAAACUCUGACAGGGCGACUGAAUGAAGGCUUUCUUCUCUCUAAUAUUCAUUCAACACCUCCAAAAACGACUUGUGUCGUCCCACUUGGCUCAUGUCAGAACGGUCAUCUUUUGGUUGAUUUGUUUGAAGAUGCCUUGGGCAGCCAGUGUGAAAGGGUAUUUCUGGAAUAGUCCCAAAUGACAUGUGGAGACUAUCUGGACAUUUCAGUCACUACAGAUAUUCUAAGAUCUCGCUGCUUAUCAAGAAGCACAGCAGAAAAAGAAAAGAAAAAAGAGGAUAAAACAGGGCUAAUACUGAGAAAAGAGCACAUGAAAACGAGAGAGCGAGGUGGGACUUUCGGUGGGAACGCGGCAAAGCCGGUGUUAUAAUAAACCCUUAUUCUCCGCUUGGAAUCUCUAAUGGGAAAAUCAAGUGCUGUGACUCCUGUAUAAUAGGAUUUGCCGGGUCUCGUGCUGCAUCAGGGCCCAGUGGGCAGCACAAAGCCUGUUAAGGCUGGACAAGCAUUACUAGAAAGGGGGGUGUGGAGCAGAACGGGCCUGUGGUGUAAGGGGGCGAAGGUAGCCUUGACAACAAAGGUUGUGAAUGGGACAACUUUGAAUAUACUUGUGGAUAGUUGUGUGUAGUCCUACCUUUACAGUGAAAUAAACCUGCUGUUAGUAACAUACAGAACUAUUUAUCAGGGCAAGUGAUUAUUUUAAGGUUUAGGAAAUAUUCUGUAUUCAAUUCAGUAGAAGUUCACAAUUCUUAAGAACACAAAAUAAUUUUACUUAAUAUCUUACUUUGUCACAGCUGAUAACCUCACGUGUAGCUUUCUGACAAACAGCUCAGUUGUGCUUUGAAUAGUUUGAUUCAUGGCUCUGUGAACUUUCUUAAUUCCAGCUCCCUCUCUUUUCCCACUUCAGAUUUUUUGAAAAGAUCUUCGUGUUCUACAGAAUGAAGUAAUUUGAAUCAUUUUUGGUAAGACAUGAAUUAGAGUAAAUGAUGACAGAACUUU